UAUCAAUAAGCGGAGGAAAAGAAACCAACAGGGAUUGCCCCAGUAACGGCGAGUGAAGCGGCAACAGCUCAAAUUUGAAAUCUGGCACCCGCGCGGGGCCCGAGUUGUAAUUUGCAGAGGAUGCUUCUGGCGCGGCGCCUUCCGAGUUCCCUGGAACGGGACGCCACAGAGGGUGAGAGCCCCGUCCGGUCGGACGCCCAGCCUCCGUGAAGCUCCUUCGACGAGUCGAGUAGUUUGGGAAUGCUGCUCUAAAUGGGAGGUAUAUGUCUUCUAAAGCUAAAUACCGGCCAGAGACCGAUGGCGCACAAGUAGAGUGAUCGAAAGAUGAAAAGCACUUUGAAAAGAGGGUUAAACAGUACGUGAAAUUGUUGAAAGGGAAGCGCUCGUGACCAGACUCGGGCUCGGCGAAUCACCCGGCGCUCCGCGCCGGUGCACUUCGCCGCGCCCGGGCCAGCAUCAGCUCGCCGCGGGGGACAAAGGCGCCGGGAACGUGGCUCCCCCGGGAGUGUUAUAGCCCGGCGCGCAAUGCCCCGCGGCGAACUGAGGUUCGCGCGUCCGCAAGGAUGCUGGCGUAAUGGUCACCAGUGACCCGUCUUGAAACACGGACCAAGGAGUCGUCCUCGUAUGCGAGUGUUCGGGUGUCAAACCCCUACGCGCAAUGAAAGUGAACGCAGGUGAGAGCCCCUCACGGGGCGCAUCAUCGACCGAUCCUGAUGUUCUCGGAUGGAUUUGAGUAAGAGCAUACGGGGCCGGACCCGAAAGAAGGUGAACUAUGCCUGUGUAGGGUGAAGCCAGAGGAAACUCUGGUGGAGGCUAGCAGCGGUUCUGACGUGCAAAUCGAUCGUCAAACAUGGGCAUGGGGGCGAAAGACUAAUCGAACCUUCUAGUAGCUGGUUUC
Molecule: ribosomal RNA, 898 nt
Filed under: Ophiocordyceps spataforae
Lineage: Eukaryota; Fungi; Ascomycota; Sordariomycetes; Hypocreales; Ophiocordycipitaceae
Description: LSU rRNA
Rfam family: Eukaryotic large subunit ribosomal RNA
Source: RNAcentral